GAUGAAGAACGCAGUAAAAUGCGAUACUUGGUGUGAAUUGCAGAAUCCCGUGAACCAUCGAGUUUUUGAACGCAAGUUGCGCCCGAAGCCUUUUGGCCGAGGGCACGUCUGCCUGGGCGUCACGCAUCGCGUCGCCCCCCACAAUUCUCCGUAAAGGGAACAUGUGUUUUGGGGGCGGAUAUUGGUCUCCCGUGCUCAUGGCGUGGUUGGCCGAAAUAGGAGUCCUUUCGAUGGACGCACGAACUAGUGGUGGUCGUAAAAACCCUCGUCUUUUGUUUCGUGCUGUUGCUCGCAAGGUAAACUCUUUAAAAACCCCAAUGUGUCGUCUCUUGACGACGCUUCGACCGCGACCCCAGGUCAGGCGGGACUACCCGCUGAGUUUAAGCAUAUCAAUAAGCGGAGGA
RNAcentral lists this unclassified non-coding RNA (404 nucleotides) under soil metagenome. RNAcentral's name for it is "partial contains 5.8S ribosomal RNA, internal transcribed spacer 2, and large subunit ribosomal RNA". The stretch from base 1 to 122 matches the Rfam family "5.8S ribosomal RNA", at positions 35 to 154 of the family's 154-position model. The record is from RNAcentral.